Callithrix jacchus (white-tufted-ear marmoset) is the source of this 148-nucleotide unclassified non-coding RNA. It matches the Rfam family "Metazoan signal recognition particle RNA". Rfam says of the family: The signal recognition particle (SRP) is a universally conserved ribonucleoprotein. It is involved in the co-translational targeting of proteins to membranes. The record is from Ensembl. NCBI's taxonomy places the organism in Eukaryota, Metazoa, Chordata, Mammalia, Primates, Cebidae.
GCUGGGUGUGGUGGUGCACACCUGUAGUCCCAGCUGCUUGGGAGGCUGAGGCAGGAGAAUCGCUUGAACCCAGGAGGCGAAGGUUGCAGUGAGCCAAGAUUGUGCCACUGCAGUCCAGCCUGGGCAACAGAGUAAGACUCUGUCUCAA